Molecule: long non-coding RNA, 1056 nt
Organism: Photinus pyralis (common eastern firefly)
Lineage: Eukaryota; Metazoa; Arthropoda; Insecta; Coleoptera; Lampyridae
Exons: 3
Source: RefSeq, a predicted model, not a curated record
CACAUUUUUGACACAUUCAGCCCUAUGCAGUAAGUACAUUGACAUUAAGUCAAGCUUGAAAUGACGUCAUAAGAUUGACAUAUGAAAGACAUUUCAAUAAAUAUGGCGGAUUGGUAUGCAGAAUAGCACUGUACUCAAUUUAUUGAAAUUUUCCUAUUUCAAUAUAUUGAAAUCAGGUCAAUUGACAUAUAGUUCGUAUGCUCUAAGACAAAUCCUUGAAGUAUUCCUAUCUCAACAUUGAAAAAAGUCAAUAAUUAUAUAGUCUUGAAAAACUUUGCCCGUUAAGGAACUAAAAUAAAGUCAAGAAUAUUUCGUAACUGAAAUUUGUGUAGUAUAGCAACUGUUGAGUUUUGUUUGAGCCAAAUUAACUCAAAAUAUAAUUAAACUUGCGUGGUUUUUACAUCAAUUAAUCCUUUUCGUUAGUGAACUGUGACAUCUGAGGUUGUGUAAUCAAAAUGGAACUAGUUUUUAUUAUUGACGUACUUGAAAACGAAAUUGUCAGGUAAGACACAAGACUGAACUAAUAAAGAACAUGAAAAUAAUGCUUUUAACAGACGCCAAUUGAAUCUACAACGUCGACAAUUGAGAGAUCAUAGUGAUCCUUUAACUUUGCCUGAAAUUACUUUGGUUUGUUUCGCAUAUCAAGGCAGCUAGCUCAAUGGGUACUUGAUCAAAUUCUUCCACAUAUGAGGGAUUCAGCACGCACAACAGCCAUCCCUAAAGGUCUUAGGUUUUUUGCUGCAUUACACUUUUUAAGUCAUGGAUCAUAUCAAAGAGGGGUAGGUCAAGAUUACCUGACAAGCAUGCAUCAAACUUCAGUAAGCAGAUGUCUUACAGAAGUAACUGACAUUUUAGUACAAGUAUUAGGCCACCUCAUAAAGUUCCCGGAAACUGAAGUGGAGAAAAACCAGGAAAAACAACGUUUUGUAGAUAGUGGUGGAUUUCCAGGAAUAAUUGGAUGUAUUGACUGUACACAAGUUGCUAUCAUAGCCCCAAAAACAGAAGACCCAGAAAUGCCCGGUGUUGUAUUUUACUGUCGAAAACAAUACUAUAGCU